GCAUCGGUGGUUAAGUGGUAGAAUUCUCGCCUGCCACGCGGGAGGCCCGGGUUCGAUUCCCGGCCGAUGCA
RNAcentral lists this transfer RNA (71 nucleotides) under Penaeus japonicus. RNAcentral's name for it is "tRNA-Gly". It matches the Rfam family "tRNA". From Rfam's summary of the family: Transfer RNA (tRNA) molecules are approximately 80 nucleotides in length. Lineage: Eukaryota; Metazoa; Arthropoda; Malacostraca; Decapoda; Penaeidae. The record is from RNAcentral.